Molecule: long non-coding RNA, 2026 nt
Filed under: Macaca fascicularis (crab-eating macaque)
Lineage: Eukaryota; Metazoa; Chordata; Mammalia; Primates; Cercopithecidae
Description: lncRNA (ENSMFAG00000061641.1)
Source: RNAcentral
UUUUUUUUUUUUUGUAUUUUAGUAGAGACAGGGUUUCGCCAUGUUUCCCAGGCUUGUUUCAAACUCCUGAGCUCAAUCAAUUCGCCUGUCUCGGCCUCCCAAAGUGCUGGGAUUACAGGCGUGAGCCACCGCGCCCGGCCGAGGAUUUCAAGACAGUGACAGCAAGGCAUGAAGCCUUCCAAGUGUGGGAGCCUGUGUGUCUGCGGGAGCUGUGUGCCUGUGAAGCAGACCCUGGGGCUGAGGCAGGAAAAUACCGUCUGGAGGCAGGGAACAUAAGGCGGAUUCACACUUCAGCUAUGACAGGACAUGUCCUCUCCACGGGCACAAACCCAGCAAACGACUUUAGAACUCAUUCUCUUCAUUUACAUAGGGCGGACCCCCAGUAGAGGGUAUCUGAACUCACAAAAACUCUAUGACGGGAUCCUUGAGCCCCUAUGCUCAGCCGCUCCCACGCCGUGGGGUGCACUUUAAUUCUCAAUAAAUCCCUGCUUUUGCUCUCCUCACUUUGUUCGUGCGUUUUGUCCAAUGCUUUGUUCGAGACGCCAUGAUCCUGGACACCCUUUCUGGGUACAGUACCAGGGCUUCCGAAACAGGGCUACAGAAGCCUUGGUAGGGGGAUGACCGAAGGGGGAAAAAGGCAGGAAGUAGGCAAGCCCCACCCACAGAGUGUCCACCCCCUCCUCCGGUUCUGUCUACACUGCAGGAGCUAGAAGAUAAAAAUGACCAUUCCAAGUCUAGGGUAAGAGUGAGGUCCUGCCAAUCGAAUGCCUUUCCCCAGGUCUGGAAAGGAAGGCAGGCAGAGGCCCGCGCCGGGGCUCACGUGUUGCUAUGCACGAGGGUGAGCUCGGCGCCUGCAGCUUCAGCUGCAGCUGGUCACCUGCUUCCCCGGCAAAAGGCCUGGGUAGACACACCCCAGUGCUGUCACCAGCCUGUGGAUGCCCUGAGGUGGCUCCCUGUCCCUGGACCACAUGGCAGGUGCGCUGGAGCUCAGGGUUCCAGUACAGCUUGGAAGCCUGGGGUCUCCCGGGGCCAGCGCUGUGGAUGGCUGGAGUCCUUCCAGGAGGUCCAGCCCCCAGAGCUGCCCUCGAGAACAUAAGCUUCUGAUUUCCACUCUGGAUCCGCCUGACUGAAAAUACCCCGAAUGGCUGCUUUUCCUGCUCUGACUGAACCACUGCUUGUACUUGCUUCCUGGGGCAGCCCUAACAAAGGACCACAAAUGACAAGAACGUCCCUCUCCCAAUCCUGGGGGACAGAAGUCCGAGAUGCAGGGGUGGCCAGGGCUGGUUCCUUCUGGGGCUGUGACGGAGCCUCUGCUCUGGUCUCUUCCAGCUUCUGGGUCUUGCUGGCAACCCUUGGUCCUCUGUGACUUACAGAAGCAUCACCCCAACCUCUGCCUUCAUCUUCACGUAACGUCCUAAUGUCCAUCAAUGACAGACUGGAUAAAGAAAAUGUGGUACAUAUACACCAUGGAAUACUAUGCAGCCAUCAAAAAGAAUGAGGUCAUGUCCUUUGUAGGGACAUGGAUGGAGCUGCAGGUCAUUAUCCUUAGCAAACUAAUGCAGGAACAGAAAGCCAAACGUCGCAUGUCCCCACUUAUAAGUCAGACCUGAACACGGAGUACAUAGGAACACAAGGGAAGGACAGCACUGUGGUGCACUUGGCGGCGGGGGUGGGGUGGGGUGGGGGCAGGAGGAGGGAGAGGAUUGAAAAGCUACCUAUUGGAUACUAUGCUUCUUACCUGGUUGAUGAAAUAAUCUACACACCAAACCCCAUGAAGUGCAAUUCAUCUAUAUGGCAAGCCUGCACAUGCAGCCCUGAACCCCAAGUAAAAGCUGAAAGAAAGCUUGUCUCCAGACAAGGUUGCCUUAGAAGGCACUGAGCAUUUGGGCUCCCUCAAAUGGAAUUUUUCUGGGGGGGAUCUAUUCAACUCCAGGCUGUCUUCGAGCUUGUGUCCAGCAGCUGAGCAUCGUGUGCAGUCAUUGUCUUCCCAUGUCUAGUUUUUCAAGGCCCCGUGACAUUGCAGAUA